Molecule: ribosomal RNA, 259 nt
Filed under: uncultured bacterium
Lineage: Bacteria
Description: partial 16S ribosomal RNA
Rfam family: Bacterial small subunit ribosomal RNA
Source: RNAcentral
UACGUAGGGUCCGAGCGUUGUCCGGAAUUAUUGGGCGUAAAGAGCUCGUAGGCGGUUUGUCGCGUCUGCUGUGAAAACUCGGGGCUUAACUCCGGGCCUGCAGUGGGUACGGGGCAGACUAGAGUGCGGUAGGGGAGAGCUGGAAUUCCUGGUGUAGCGGUGAAAUGCGCAGAGUAUCAGGAGGAACACCGGUGGCGAAGGCGGGUCUCUGGGCCGUAACUGGACGCUGGAGGAGCGAAAGCAUGGGGAGCGAACAGGA